CCGAGUAGCUACGAGAGGUGGCACUUGGAGCUGUGGUGUAGCUGACCCGGUGGGGACCAGCCCAAGUUUGGUCUCGAUAAUCUUGGAGGCCUCCUCCAACCCGAACAAACGUUGUGGUUCUGCAGGGUCUAGUAGCAUAGUCUUAUCUGAAGUAGCUGUCUGUUUAGUAAUGCGAGUUACGAGGAAAAACUAGAUAAGAGGUGCCAUUUUCUAUCAAUUUAUGAGUUUGGUUCAAGCCAAAAAUGGGAAAUUUUACAUGUAAGCAAGUGUUUUAAAACUUACUCAAAAAUAGUUGCAUCAUUGGUUAAAAGGGAGCAUUCUACAUAGGUCUAAAUUCACCAAGGGUAUGCUUAUUUAAAAACACUAGGAAGAAGUGUACUUUUUCUGUGUACCACCACAGGAACUGGGUUUGAAAGGCUUUGAAAUUAAUGACAAGGCCUUUCUCAAUUCUGGAUCUGAAACAGCUCCAGCUGACCUGGCUUUUGAUGAUGCAUAGCCUUUACAAUCCAGGGGCUGACUAGUGGCCAGGCUUAGGUGAGCUGCUGUAGGUAAAUGCAAGCAAUGCAAGUAAUAAUUAGCAUUAUUGUUGGCAGUGUUAAGAAGCAAAAUGUCAGAGCAUUAGGCUCCAUGAAGCCUUGAUCUGACUACAUUGGCACAUUACUGUGACACUGUCUAAUGCCAAGUUUCAGCCUGCAGGAGCAGUUGCACUGCCAAGGGUUCAGAUACCUGAGGAAUGUUCCUACAGCUACUUGCCUUGCUGGGGCAGACAGGGAAGGACAAGCAGAAAAGACCUUAAGCUCUGCAACAACUAAAGCACCAUCAGAGAAGCUCGUCAGUCUGGCUCCGGCAGCUCUGACUGAGGAGUGACUAACCAGGUCACUUCUGGCAUUCAUUUCCUUCCUGCCCACUGAGAUUAUAUAUUACUUUAAGGUGUGUGCCUUAUGAAGUGACCAAGAUCGUCAGUCUCAAUCCAGGUGGCAGCAUUUCUGGUGCUUUCAUCUUUGUAUUGAAGUCCACAUGAGUUUUAUGUUUGUAUCCGUGGAAUGAAUUCCCUGAAAGACACAACGGCCUUGUAGUGCAGUGAGAAAAACUCAAUGGAUGUUAUCUGUGGAAACACAAGAUCGUAUUAAAAAAAGUGAAAUAUAGCGAAGAGGAGGCAAAUAACCAAGGGCCACUUUGAGCCUGAGGAGGUGGGAGAGGAGCACUGGAACCAGCCACUUCUGAGCCUUUAUUUGAGCAAAGGGGAAGUCAUCAAGUGAGUUCUGCUAAGGACCAAGAAACUCAACUGGAUCUGUGGACUCCUUAUUGUAGAGGCCAUAGUCAGGGGAAAUACCUUGUGUUUUGCUGCUUGGUAGAGUUUGCAUUUCAGGUAAUGAACUGUGCCUGAGGGAAGUGUCUUAAAAAGGCCUGGGUGUGGUACUGGGGGUUUUUUCCCCUUGGCAGGUGAGGAAGCCUGCCAGUUUACAAAAAUACAGGGACUUAGCAACUACUGUGUGCUUGUAUGAGCUCUUCACCUUGCAAUAAAGACAUGACCAUUUCCAGUAUUUUAAAGCAGACUUGACAUAUUAUAUUUGAGUGCAUAUCAACAAAAAAAUAUCACCUCUCAAAACAAAGAGGAAAAAAGAGAUAUUUUGCGAUCAAUUGAUUUCAAAUUUUUUAAGAAAACUUCUUGUUUGUUGAAAAGUCACUAUUCUUCAACCAGAAAAAAAAAAUGCUUCUCUCAGGCUGUAAGCUGUUUGUAAAAAGGAUUAUCUGUAUCAUUUUCCUGUAUUUUUGCCCUAAUGAGAACAGCAUGAUUAUUCUCCAGAAAUGACACACAAGAGAAAUAGCAGCAAAAUAUUGGUAUCUCAAAGAUGAAAAUAAACACAUAUUUAUGACCAACCAAAACACUGUCAAUGUAUUGGAAGUUCACUUGUAAGUCUUAGAGCAGUUGCAUUUGUACACAUUACAUGACUUUUCAGGCUCCUGAAAUAAAUUAAUAUUGUUCAAAUGAACAUCAUUGCUUGGGUUUGCAAAUGCCUUCAAUGUGAUUACACAUUAAGUUUACAGGAUUUAAAACUUUAUAACCUGUUUGCAACUACCAUAUCUUUCUAAAAAAUAUUCUGUUCAGGUGUAGACCCAGAGGAAAUUAUUUUUCUCUCUGUCAUGCUCUCAUUCUGAAAAGAAUCCUAAGCUAGGUGUGAAAUAGUAGAAGACUGUAUUACUUACCAAUGUGAAGUAAAGAACCCAUGGUUAGUCACAUUGCUUUCAAGCUUCCAAGGCACAAAUAGAGCUAUUGAAAUCUUGUUGAGAUGUUUUUCUGUUGUAAAUAACCAGGGAGAAAUCAAUUAAUUGAGAAUGGAGGACAAAAAUAUAGCCAUAAUAAAGAUAUAUGCAUGAAGAAAGGAAAAUAAUAAUUGAGGAAAGACAAAAUAAUUGCAUAUACUUCCUUCAGCAAGGGAAGAAUCUGUAAAACUAGGUCUACAUUCAGUUUCCCCCAAAGAGAUUGCUAAUUUUUAUGCUAUCCUGUCUCUCUGGAAGCUAAAUUUGUCUCUUACAGUACUUUACAUCAGCAACAAAAAGCAAAACACAGACAGACUUUCAAUACAGUUUAAAUGUGAUCUCUGCAUCAGCAGUAUUAAGGAAAAAGGUUUAGCUGGUGAAAGGGUGGAUGUGUUGCUUUGAUGUAAAAAGUUUUAUUUCAUGACAAUGCUCAAACAAGCAAUCUGUUCCAGUUAUAAGCAAUGUGACUAUUUAUAGUCUGAGCCUCAUACAGACAUAACACACUUGACUGUGAACAGUAAAUACUUUGUGAGGGUUAGAAAGUAAAAAAAGAGGUGCUUGCAGGCACUGCCACAUGGUGUACAGUGUUUGCUGAGAAUGACAAUGCAACAUCUGCAGAUUCCCACAGGAUGUGUAAUUCUUGUUAUUUCAGGGUCUCAUCCAACUUAUUUGACAUUAUUGUAAGAUUCACAUAAAGAUGAAUUGAUUUUGGUCCUUAGCUUGUCAUGUAAAAUACUGGCUAAAUACAGAGUUUAUAUUUGGAUAAGUGAAAUAAAGCCUUCCUAUUCCCACACCCUGAAUAAGCACUUUCACCUUGUUUAAGAUCAUUCCAAAAAUAACAGGAAGCAGGCAGGUAAUAGGUACUAUCUGGCCUAACAUUAUAAUUGCAGCCCCAGGCAAGAAGGGAAUAAUGGA
Cyanistes caeruleus (blue tit) is the source of this 3177-nucleotide long non-coding RNA. RefSeq lists it as uncharacterized. The record is from RefSeq and is a predicted model, not a curated record. NCBI's taxonomy places the organism in Eukaryota, Metazoa, Chordata, Aves, Passeriformes, Paridae.